RNAcentral lists this long non-coding RNA (288 nucleotides) under Carica papaya (papaya). Its description in RNAcentral is "long non-coding RNA (CPAP_LNC000516)". The record is from RNAcentral. Lineage: Eukaryota; Viridiplantae; Streptophyta; Magnoliopsida; Brassicales; Caricaceae.
AUAAUUUGUAUGAUAUUAUUGCUUCUGUAAUUUGUUUUCAUAAAUUUCCCAAUGGUAAGAAAAAGAGUAAAUGGUUUUACUUUUAAUGAAUGUAUUGGUUUAAAUUUAGUGCUUCAUUGGUUGUUUUUAGUUUUCUACCAAUAUUUACUUCUGUACCGGUGAUAUAGUGUGAUGUCCUUACUGCGCUAGUGUAGCUCACCCCUACUUAACCAUUUCAGAUUAACAGGACCCGGUUCCCGACCCCGAUCCGCAAGAAGGCUACGAGUAGAUGGUAGAUACUUUAUAGUU